UCUGAGAUCAAAUCUAUCCGUCGAAUAGGAGCUGCGAGAGAACAAGAACCCUUCAUUUGAGCACGGCUCGCCUCUUCGAUCCUAUAAAUACGUUAUAUCUCGUCCCUCUUCCAUCGCCAAGGCGCCGAUUUGGGCGAUGUCCGUCGCCCUUUUCGUUUCUUCUCCCCCAUCGUUCCAUCGUUCGCUAUGUGGCUUUGAUCUCUCAUUCAGUUGCCAUGCCGGGAGGCGGGAGCCGUAGCUUCUCUUUGAAGCUGCCGUAGCCCUAAUGGAAAGCCGGCCGACGUUGCCAGUACUUUGCAUCGCACGCAACUUUGAGACCUAGUUCGUCGACGACGAUGAUGAGUCUACAGACCUGUAAUGAUUUUUGCGGAUAUGAUCGCACUAUCAAAGAACAUCUAAGGGACUGAGUCGUCGUCACCAAAUUCGUUCUACACAAAUCUAUACUUGUUGAAUUUACUGUCUAAUGUCAUUUGCUUCACUAUCUGGUCAUUGAGGAUCAUUUCCAUUCCCAAUGUACUCGUUCCCUUGAAGCUAGAUUUUGCGUUGUCAUGAUCAUCAUUUUACUUGCCGAUCCAAUAAACUUCUUGGCGAGUUAAUGAUCAUCACAUAAAUUUUAAAAGUAUUUCUUGCGCAACUGUUUUCAUGGCAGAUGAGGAUUUGUUGAUUUUAAUGGGUAAUUUGCAUCUGAAACUUGUGAUGUUACCUAUCAUAACACCUUGGAGAUCUGAUGCCUAAAAAGUCUUUCUUUCGCUUUUAUUUUCCGUUUCGUGAUUUUAAGACUCGGGGAUGAGAGAUGAUGAUGAAUUAUUUAGUUUACCUAUUGGUUUCACAGCCGAUAUGAUGGUUACAAUUGUAUUAGCUCUAUCUGAACUCUUUAUGCCUCUUUGUUCUUUAUUUUGCCUCUGUAAAAAAUUAUCUACGGUGAAUUUUUUUCAUCUAUUACUUCAUUAAAAAAAGAUAAUUAUUUUUUCUAUGGACAAAUGAAAUUUUAAAAUCAUUUUCUCCCUCUUGGUUGAGCAAUAUAAUCUAUUUUCUCUCAAUUUGUGAUUUGACACGCGCGAUCGCGGACCGUGGGCGCGAUCGCGGACCGCGGAUUUGCGGCAUCGUGGACCGUUGGCUUUUGGACCGCGGACCCGCGCGAUCUGGGACGGGGGGCACGUGCGCGAUCUCGGACCGUGGUCCCGCACGAUAGUGGACUGCGAUCUCGGGCGCUACCCCUUGCGUGAUUGCGGAUGGCGACGCCGCGUGGGCGUGAACGCCGACCAAACGCACGAAGGAGUUUUUUGGCGCCUUUUUCAUAAAGCUAUUUGAUGGAUGUUACUGGCUAUUUUAUUUCAUAAUAUUACAUUGAUGUGUUAAUGAAUAAUUAUCAUUCUUGGCAUUUUGUUUUUAGUGAUGUUUAUAGCAUUAUAUCAUUUGCCCGUGAAA
This is a long non-coding RNA of Zingiber officinale, 1428 nucleotides long. RefSeq lists it as uncharacterized. Lineage: Eukaryota; Viridiplantae; Streptophyta; Magnoliopsida; Zingiberales; Zingiberaceae. The transcript has 2 exons. The record is from RefSeq and is a predicted model, not a curated record.